Molecule: ribosomal RNA, 425 nt
Filed under: uncultured bacterium
Lineage: Bacteria
Description: partial 16S ribosomal RNA
Rfam family: Bacterial small subunit ribosomal RNA
Source: RNAcentral
GUGGGGAAUAUUGGACAAUGGGCGCAAGCCUGAUCCAGCCAUGCCGCGUGAGUGAUGAAGGCCCUAGGGUUGUAAAGCUCUUUCACCGGUGAAGAUAAUGACGGUAACCGGAGAAGAAGCCCCGGCUAACUUCGUGCCAGCAGCCGCGGUAAUACGAAGGGGGCUAGCGUUGUUCGGAAUUACUGGGCGUAAAGCGCACGUAGGCGGACAUUUAAGUCAGGGGUGAAAUCCCAGAGCUCAACUCUGGAACUGCCUUUGGUACUGGGUGUCUUGAGUAUUGAAGAGGUAAGUGGAAUUCCGAGUGUAGAGGUGAAAUUCGUAGAUAUUCGGAGGAACACCAGUGGCGAAGGCGGCUUACUGGUCCAUUACUGACGCUGAGGUGCGAAAGCGUGGGGAGCAAACAGGAUUAGAAACCCCGGUAGUCC